Molecule: long non-coding RNA, 794 nt
Filed under: Pan troglodytes (chimpanzee)
Lineage: Eukaryota; Metazoa; Chordata; Mammalia; Primates; Hominidae
Description: lincRNA
Source: RNAcentral
CCCACACUCAGGGUGAGAGGGAGAUUCUGAAGCUUUGUGUUUCUUGCUAGCUAGUCAAAGGAUAGAAAAAUAAUACAUGCCAAAAGAAAUUUGAGGAACAAAUUCAGCCCUGAGACAGGUCAAGGAAACAGCCCUCCAGUCUUCCUCAAGAAAUGUAGACUGAAUCAGCAUUUACCCACCCCUGGAAAAACGCAGGAGCUGCGCAUUCCUGGGAUCUCAGCAGGGCUUUUGGGAAGAGCAGAACUGGGCUGGAGUCACGGUUUCUGGGCUGACUCUAGAUUUUCCCCAGCUUUUGUCACCUGUGAUGGCUGGAGAGUAUCUGAAGAUGACGACCAGUGUCCUUAGCUCGUGAAGAUUGGAUGAUGGCCGGGGCCCUCAGAUCCCUUGGCCCCUCCUUAACUGCAGGGCUUCAAAAGCCCAACACCUGUUCGUCAUUUCUGUGGCUUCCCAGGGAGUCUUACUCUUCUGCUUCAAGCUGCUGGGUUUGACUCUGAGCAGUUUCUGUGCAGCCGCAAAGAUUCUUAUGUGAGACACACUGCUGCUUCAGAGUGCUCCAACCCGUCUCCCCUGAUUAAACACUAACCAGGGCUGCCACAGCAAAGUGGCUCGAAUGGGUGACGUCAACAACAGAUUUACUUUCUCAUAGUUCUGGAGGCAGGUGUCUAGGAUCAAGGUGGUGGCAAGGCUAUUCCUUCUGUUGCCUCCCUCCUUGCCUUGUGGAUGACCGUCUUCACCGCGUCUUUCCAAGAUCUCUCCUCUGUGCAUGUCAGUGUCCUCGCUUCCUCUUCUUAUGA